Xylaria arbuscula is the source of this 89-nucleotide non-coding RNA. NCBI's taxonomy places the organism in Eukaryota, Fungi, Ascomycota, Sordariomycetes, Xylariales, Xylariaceae. The record is from the annotation of a GenBank genome assembly.
GGCCUCGUGGCCUAAUGGCUAGGGCGCUAGAUUUCGGUUCUUCCAUCAAGAUUCUCUAGAGAUUGUCGGUUCGAGUCCGGCCGAGGUCG